Glycine soja is the source of this 10775-nucleotide long non-coding RNA. RefSeq lists it as uncharacterized. The record is from RefSeq and is a predicted model, not a curated record. NCBI's taxonomy places the organism in Eukaryota, Viridiplantae, Streptophyta, Magnoliopsida, Fabales, Fabaceae. The transcript is spliced from 3 exons.
AGAAGGUUCGAUAUUUCUGUGGGUGACUGUUGUGUUCAAUUGUGUUGCAUUAUUUUCAACAUUUGUAUUUCCCUGUGUGUCUCUUUUUAGUCUUGCCAAUUUUUUAUUUUUUUUUUUCAUUUUUCUUUACAAUCAAUCCUUUAAAAAAAACUAUCUACAUAACAUUUAUACCACUUACAAGAUAUAAGUCCCGACGUCUGCACGAGCGUAAAACUAGUUUCAAUACACAAAUAAGAGUAUGCCCGUGCAUCGGCAUGGGCUCACGGGCUAGUUAACUAAAACAAGAGAAUUUGGAAAUUCUCACACGCACACACUGCGGCCUCACUCUCGCUCGCAACCCUAGCUCCCACUCUCGCUCGACGCUGUUUCCGCUUGCUCGCGGUGGUUCAGAGCAAUCUCUCUCGCACGCACGGUGGUCAUAACUGGAAAGGGAAAGUGAGAAUAAUUGAUUGAUUGGUGCGGAAUGUACAUGUCGCAGUUCUUUCAAGUCAGUAUGUUUGAUGCAUUUGUACUUGGGUAUCUAGUUUUUCAGUUUUGGUUUGAAGACAUGCACAUAGAUACAGGGUGAGGCUUUAUCUCCUUUGCAAAACAGGGCAAAUUCCGAAUAGGCCAAAGUAUGAAUAAUUGGUAGUGUGUGCUAAGGUUUGAGUUGGUUGUUACAGUUUUGUUUUGAUUGAUGCAUUGGAUCUUUGUUGUUUUUGUGCCUAUCUUUGUUAUGUGUUAAUUCUGAUCUGGAAAACAUACAAAUCUACACAUGAUAAGUUUUAAUCUAAUGCAACUAACAUACUAAUCUACUCUUGAAUUCUCAUAAAUUUGGUGGGAAAAAAAUAGAAAACAGAGAAUGACAUUACAUAAUUAAUUUAGAUAAAGACUUAGUAGAUUUCCUUUAGAAUGGUAUACCCAAAUGACUGCAUAAAAUGACUAGAGAAAAGCGUACCUUAGCAAGCUACUUUUCCAAGUUCACAGACUGAAAUCAUAGAAAUUGCAAAAUUGGAUUAAAUUGCCUACGAUUAGAUUACCAAGAUUGGAUUAGAUUAACAAAAUCAGAUUAAGUCGUUGUGGACUUGUGGUUAUGAUUCAUGAGUAUAUGACAAAAAUUGUUGACUACCUGCACUUCAAGAAGCUGGCUUGUGGACUCUGAAAAGGAAAUAAUAUUAAUUGUUUCUACUGGAUAUUGGACCUGGAUGACUGAACAACAAUCAUAAGUUAGUAAGCCAUGUCUUAUCUGUAACAACUGUGAGCACAUGAAUCAGACAGCACAUGGCAGAGGAUAUAAAUGAUAGAACAAUGCAGAUUCAGAAGUUCCUGGACGAAGUGGAAAAAUAUAAUCCAUUUUUUUAUUUCAUUAUUGAAGCACUUUUCCCCAUUUCUGCAAUUAGAUAAUUUUGUGGACAUCAUGUCCAAAAACACAAGUUCCUUUGAGAAAGAAACACCUUUUGCCGAGGCUGCUCUCAUGGAGAUCCCCUUCCAACAUAAAGAAACCAUGGAAUUUGGAAUACUUGGGUAUGAUCCUAAUUAAGUUUUACUAGGUAUGAACAAAACCAAGCAUUAUGCAUAACUAAAACCUUUUGGUGCCUAAGUGUAUCUUCAUUGUCAUGAAUAGUUUUAGAAUUACUUUCUAGCUAUGAUGCUUAUCCAUUUCAUUGCUACGUGAUUGCCAACACUAUCAUCAAUUGUCAUUUUGUGCUUGUUACUCGAACCUAUGCUAAAGUAUAUUGGGAAAAAUUCGAGUUUCACAUUGGUUAGUGCCAAGAUAGAGUAUAUAAGUGGGGACAAGCCUCACCCUAUGAACUAGUUAUUGGGGUCGAGUUCAGGUCCAAACUUACAUUCUAAGAUGAUAUCAAAAUCUGUCUUAUAUCCAUUAAACGGGUCACCCACUAUGUUAUGCACGCACCAAGCCCAAAAAUGUUGGGCGUGAGGGGGUGUAUUGGAAAAACCCAAGUCUUACAUCGGUUAGAGAUAGUGUCAAAAUAGAAUAUAUAAGUGAAAGACAAUCCUCACCUCAAAAGCUAGCUCAUAGGGGGAGGGUUGUCCCCACUUAUAUAUUCUAUCUUGGCACUAUCUCUAACCGAUGUAGAACGAGUUUUUCCCAAUAAAGUAAAGUAUGAAAUAAUUAGAAAUUUGGUAGAAAUCGUUUUGAAUCCCCAAAUAACAAUAAUUGAUCGAAUUUAUCAGGACAAGAUGGAUAUAUUCAACUAAUGUUUUAAUGAUAGUGUAUUAUUCAACUAGUAAGCUAUUUGAUAAAAAAAAGGAUUAAAACAUAAAAAAGCCUCUCUUCCUUCUCAUAAGUUCAAUGAGACUCUAAUACUUUUUGCUUCUAUGUGACAGUAGCAGAGAUAAACUGACACAAUGUAAAAGCAAUUUGAUAAAAACUUAUAGUUUACUAAGCUAUGAAACAAACCUGAUGCAACCAAGGUAAGCUACGUUGUGUGUCACCAACAUUAACUUGCUCUAAACAACAUUUGAAUUAUCUUGCUUCUUCUACAACACAUGAAAAUGAAUAAAAUAUGUAAAUCUAUCAUCACACUUACAGCUCAUAAAACAAAAUAAUUACAACAAAUUCAUUAAACUCUUACAUGUCAUUCUCAAAUCUCAACGUGACUACUUUAUGACACUGAAACAAAAUAAAAGUGCAAAACCUAUGUUUUUAUCUCAAAUCAUCCAAAAUUAGGUCAAAAUGAGAGAGAGGAGAAGAUUUACAUUGAAACAAAUAAGAAGUGCAAAGCCUAGCAAUGCAAGAAAUUAAGGCAAACAAAAUUAGGUUAGAAUGAGAUAAAGAGCAAAGAUAAAGAACGAGCAAAGCAUAUUAAAAAUUAAAAUGUUUCAACGCCUUGUCCGAGAGUGAGGGAUGAUAGGGAAUGAGAGCAUUGAAAGCACCGCAACCCCUAUUUGCAAGCUUUUUGAGCUAGCAAAUGAGAAUGAGCUAAAGAUUUGAGAAUGAGCAUCGGGUCUUCAUGUCACAACUAUAAUAAACAAAAAAAUUUAAUUAUGGUUUUACUCCUUCAAAUUAAAUGAUUAGUGUAAGGGGUCCAUCUCAGUUAGUUGAGUAAGAUGCGUGAGUUAUUGUACCUCUCUCACAUUUUGAUUCUCCCACAGAUAAAAAAUAUUAAAUGAUAAUUUUUUUUCUCAUAGUAAAAUUUAUAGUAUUUUUAGUUUUUUAAAAAGCUUAAUUAUCAAUUUGGUCACCAAAUUUUAAAACUCUUCAAUUUGGUCCUUAAAUUUUCUUAAAAUGUCUCAAUUAGUUCCUUUUCGUCAAAUGACGUUGAUGUCUUUAGGAUGCGAAUUCUGGCAGUUUAAUUUACAAAUAGUGACAGCUAAAAAUCACCACUAUUUUUCUGUCAAAUCCACAAAUAGGUUCUCAGUUGCACACUUGUUCUUGUUGUUUCUCAUUGGGGUGGGACUUUGCAUGCGUGAGUUGAAAAAGGAAACAAGAUUUUUAGCAUAAGCAUGAUGAUGAUGAUGUUGGAUUGAAAUAUUUGUGGUGCAGAAAUAUCUGAAGGCCAUAGUCCCAUCCUCUAUUAGGUCUUGUUGUAUAGUGCUGCAAAUGGAUAGAUCCUUAGAUUUUUGUCUAACCCCCUCGUAAUAUCUGAAUCGUUGUUUGUUGCCAUCCUCACCUUCCUGUCCCUGUCAAUCCCCACUUCCACCCACAUGUGUGUGGUGCACCGCAUCACCUGGUUCGCAUUGACCCAACUCUGCCAUCGUCGGUGCAUAGUGCACAAACAAUAAGAACAAGUGUGCAACUUCUUGGUCCUAGCAUUUUUUGGGAAGAAGCAGCUUCGUAAUAUUUCGCUGAAUGAUUCGCUUUCGUCUAUUGGAGAAUUUGUUCCGGCUAAUGAACAUGUUGAUAUAGUUCUUGACAGAUUACCAGAUGAAUUUGAGUCAUUGGUUAUGCUUAUUAGUUAUAGGUUUGAGCCUCUCACGAUUGAUGAAGUCAAAACUUUUCUUCUUGCUCAUGAGACUCGCAUUGACAAGUCUUGCAAGAAAUCAAUUGCUUCCAUCAAUCUCACUAAAGUUUUUAAACCUAAUUUUUGCCUCAAUUCCUCGAAGCAAGUGUGUUCCUACACUACUCCAGAGCUGCAAGCCAAUCUUGCUUAGGCUCAACACAGUGCUGCUCACAGCACUAACCCGAUCUACAAUAACUACUAUGGAGGUAAUCGUUUCCUCAACAAUUGUUGUGGAAGUUGCUGCAAUUUCUCUCGCGAUGGUUGUGGUGGUGGUCGCAACUAUGGUCAUGGUGGUAGAUAGUCUAACAUUAAGUGUCAAAUCUAUCAUAAAUAUGGUCAUGUGGCUUCCUAUUGCUAUUACAGGCAUGAUGAUAACUAUGUCUCUACUCAACCAAUGGCCUAUCCAAAUCAGAAUCAGUACUCAAAUCAAAAUCACAAUCAAAAGAACCAACACCCAAACCAAUACCAAAAUCAGUAUCCCACUAACCAACAUCCAAACCAAUAUCCCACUCAAUCUUCCCAUUCAUAUCCUAAUCAGCCUCCAUAUCGGAAUGCUCCACCUCAACGCAAAAAUCCACCACCACAAGCUCAUCUAACUCGUGCUCAGUGCUCCUCUCCACAAAAUUGGUAUCCAGAUUUAGGUGCAUCUCACCAUGUUACAAAUGUUUCUCAAAAUAUUCAACAGACCACACCCUUUGAAGGACCAGAUCAAAUUACUAUUGGUAAUGGUCAGGGAUUAAAAUCAAUUCAUAAGGUGUAACCUCCUUUUAAUUCGCAAACUCCUCUUGUUCUUAAGAACCGGCUAUUUGUUCCUUCUAUAACCAAAAACUUGAUGAGUGUCAGUCAGUUUUGUAGAAAUAACUCUAUUCUUGAGUUUCAUUCUUAGUUUUGCUUGGUCAAAUCUCUUGUCUCUAAAGAGGUCCUUCUUCAAGGGUUGGCUGGUGCUGAUAACCUUUACCAAUUCCCUAAUCUGCUUUAGUCAUCUAGACAGCAACUCAAGUCUCAUUUCACUAUCAAUGCCAUUUCAUCUGAUGUUUCAGAACCUGUCUUCAGAGCAUCUUCUUCAAAUUUUGUUUCCAAUUAUGUAAAUAGUAUUAAUGAUGCUUCUGUUGUAAAUACAAUUUCUAAUAGUUCUAUUUCUUUUGCCACUUGGCAUUCUAGAUUUGGACAUCCUAUUGUUGAUACUAUGAAACUUGUAUUCAAACUCUGUAAUCUGCCUAUGAUCAAUAAAACAGGUUCUGACUUUUGUUCACAUUGUUGCAUUGGUAAAUCCCAUAGACUUCCUUCCUCCCCUUCUCUUAGUGUCUAUUCCACUCCUUUUGAACUUAUCUAUACUGAUUUGUGGGGUCCUUCUCCUCUUGUGUCCAGCACUGGUUACAGAUAUCAUGCAAUCUGUUAGGUUACCGAUUAAGCAAGUGUAUGAAGGAAGGACACAUGGAAAGUAUAAGAGGAAGACGGAGCACCAGCCAGAACCAGGAUUAGUUAGUAGUUAGCCUUGUAACUAUUCAAGUCAGUUAAAGGCAGUUAGUUAGUUAGUUGUCACCUAUAAAUAGAGAUGGACAGCCUGGAAUUACUCAUUCGGGAGUAAUCACGGUGGUUGGUUAGGGAGGCUAGGCUCCAAUCCCUAGAUGUGCAUUUGUACUACAAAAGUAAUAAAACGAGAGAUUAGGCUGGUACCAUCACAAUCUUUGUUGAUGCACACAACAUAUUUACUUGGCUAUACUUGUUAAAAAGUAAAUCAGACACCCUAACUAUUUUUAAACAGUUUCAAACUAUGUUUAAAACUCAAUUAAACCUACCUAUUAAAGCUGUUGGGAGAUGAAUAUAGGCAUUUCUCUAAGUAUCUUACCAAUCUUGGUAUUAUGCAUUGACCAAUCUGUCCUCAUAUGCACCAUUAGAAUGGGAUUGUGGAGAGGAAACACGGACACAUACUAGAAACAGUUUUAACUAUGUUGUCUCAUGCCUCAAUGACACUUGACUAUUGGGAUCAUGCUGUCAUUUCUAGUGUUUACCUAAUAAAUAGACUUCCUUAUUUAGCAAUUGAAAAUGAAGUACCUUAUCAAAGACUGUUUCACAAGCUGCCAAAAUACAAAUUCCUCAAAGUCUUUGGCUGUGCCUGUUUUCCUCUUCUCAGGUCCUAUAAUCAGCACAAGCUGCAACCAAGGUCUAAAGAAUGUAUAUUUUUGGGUUACUCUCUUUCCCACGAAGGCUCUAAAUGCCUUGCUGCAGAUGACAGAAUAUACAUCUCCAAAGAUAUAAUUUUCAAUGAAAUUAGAUUUCCCUUUGCUUGAAAGAAAAGAAUUGUUUACCCCAAGUUGGUCAGUGGAAUAUGAUGAACAAGGUAUUGUAUACAUUUUACCAUUAUUUGUUUUCAAGCAGUAAGGAAAUGCAAGUAUUUUACCUUGUUUUUGUAAAAACAAUAAAAUAAAGGGAAAUGGUAAUAUUUUUAAGUCAUUUAUAACAAGACUAUUUUUGCUCAACAUUUUGGUCCUAUUUAAAUUAUGAAAUUCCUAGGUAUGUGCUAUUCCUGUUUAGUGUGGAUUUUGAUCUGAAGCGUAUUUGUGUAAUUGGCCUUGGUUUAUAUUUUUUAUACUUCCUAUUGUUGAAAAUACUUUUGUCGCUUCGGUAUUAAAUUUGUAGGAUUUUCUUAAAAAAUAAAGGAUUUGUAAAUAUUAAUUGAAAUCAUAGAGUUUGAAAAAAAAAAACAAAUAUAUUUCUAACCCCUAUAAAAUAUUUCUCUACUUUAGUUUUUUUAUAAGAUUUUGUCAUUGUUAUAAUAAUUUUAAAACUGUAAAUUUGUUUAAAUUAUAUAAUUGACACAAUAGUGUCAAUUCUUGUUUAUUUUAGAUGUGGAUGUGGGUGAAUGAUUUAUUUAGUUGAAGAAUUUGUAUUUGAUUUCUUUCAUAUAUAAAAUUUUCUUGAACUAGUGACAAUUACGUUUUGUGAAUGAGAUUAGUGUUUGAUCCAAUACAUUUUGACCUAGAUCUAUGAUAUUUUAUCUAAGACUAAAAAUAUUAUAAUUUUCUUAUAUAGUUUUUAUAUUGGAAAAUAUUUAUUUUAGCCCCAUUAUUUAAAUUUUUCUUUAAUAUAUGAUUGUAAUAUCAUUAGGAAAUACCAACACAUACUAAAACAAUAAAAGAAAAUUUUAGAAAAAUCAAAAUUGACAAAAAUUAUUAGGAUUAAAAUAAAAAAGAAGGCUUAUUACUAGCAUCAGAAUCAUAAAAGUCAGAACCAUUAUUGGGAGUAUAUGAAAGCCUUACAUCUCAAAAUUAAAAUGAAUUUCAUAUUGUUAAAAGAUUCAACACUUGGAUAUAAAAAUCUAUUUAACCCAUUACUAUGUCAUGUUAUUUUCCUUAUAUUUUGGUUAGUAACUACUUUUAUUUAUUAUGUCUCUUGUAUUUUUAGAGUUAAUUCAGUUUUUGGUUCUAUUUUUUUUUCAAAAAUUGUAUUUUUUGUCUCUAAAUAAUAUUGUGUUUUUGGUCUUUUAUUUUUCUAAAAUUUUAGUCUGUUAUUAAGUAACAAUGUUAUUUGAUAACAUGAUUGCUACAUUGGUUGUCCAAUAACUUGUUAUGUCAUCAAAGAGUCAAACAAGAUUGUCGCGUGUAUUUUUUUUUUAAAGAAAAUUGUGCUUUUUAGUUUGUCGUGACAAACUAGUAGAACGUCAUAUUAUCAGUUAAGUAACAUGACACAACAUCACUUAAUGGACCUUGACUUACAACAAAUACUAAAAUCAAACAUAAAAAAAUUUAUGGUAAUAACGCAAAUUAAAAGUUUAGGUAGUAAUUUAAGAUUAAAUUACACUCGCACACGUUUUUUUUUUAAAUUGCACAUGAUAUCUUUUACUAUCCUACAAAAAAAACUAUUAAUUAUCUAGUUUAUAUUACACUCAGACCCCCUCUCUCCUAAACACUAUUCAAUAAUUUAAUAGAAAGUAAGCAUGUAUUAGUCACAUGACUUAUGAAAAUUUAUGUUUAAAAUAUUUUCACUUCCUUCCUCUUAACUCCAUAAAAGAUGUCAUCAUUUUCAACCGGAAAAUAUUAUAACACUCUUCUUUCUUUUUCUUUUUCCUCCAAUUAGACUUGAAUCUAACUUUUUGUUGAAUGUGAACUCACUUUGUUGAUACACAUGUGUUAAUAUCUUUCCUUCUUUUUUUUAGUUCAAUUUUUCUGUGCGUGUUAGGUCAUUUAGUUGUUGCAUUUUUUCUUAGACGAAUUUCUAGCAAUGUCUAUUGAUUGAAUAUGAUUUUUUAUUUCAAAUUUUAGUGUUAUGCCAGUUUUUAACUCCUUUGUUUGAAAUAUUUAUUUUUUAUGGUUAGAUGUUCGAUAUAAUAUCUCAAUCAAAAGUUGCAUCUUCUUCAAUUGUUAGAAAGGAUAAUUUUGGUUUUAAAAUGAAAAUGUUAAAAUAAUUUUGUUUGUUCACAUAUUUUAAUUAAUGUUAGUUAACAACAUUAAUAGGAGGGAUAAAAGUAAUGUGAAAAAAAUGGGUUAUCAUGUAAAAUGAGACAUUUAAAAUAGAAGUAUAAUGUUUUUAAUAAAUACAAGUAUCCUAUAAGAAGAAUAGAAGUAUAAUAUUUUUAAUAAAUUGUAUGUUCUACAACUUUAAGAAAUAAAAAAAAGUUAUGAAAUUGUGAUAAUGAAUAAGACUUAAUAUAUAUAAUUUAAUAAUUUUUUUGGAUAGAGCAGCUCCUUAACUUAUGUCCAUAAGGCCCAUGAUAUUGAUAGUCGGUUUAAUCUUGGCACCCUCACCUUUAUUGUUUUGACAAAAAUAUCCUUAACGGAAACUAUUAUAUAAAAUUAAACAGCGCAAUUUACGGAAACUACUUUUACAAAAAGCUAAAGAAGUAGAGGGUGAGAAGAAGAAAAAAAGGUUUGUUAAUGACAUGGGCCUGUCCAUAUGGGUUACAUUUUCAGCCCACACCCACAGCAGCCCAACUCAGCCGACGCAAUUAUUAAACAACCUAACCCGGUUUACCAAUUACCAACCCCGAGUGCUAGCAUCCCCAAAUUUUAGAAUCAAACAAACCUCAGUACCAAGAACCCUAUGCCUUCACAAACCCUAACAUCGAUUCAGAUCGUUUGUUCGCACUUCAAUCUCCAAGUGAUAGGUACACUCUUCUCUCCCCAUUCACUCGCAUUGACUUUUGCUAGUUGAAGUCUUUCAUUGUUGUCAAAUUCAGAUCUGGUUUCCCUUUCUCCCUCUUGUAUCUUAUCGAUUUUGGUUCAUGGCAUGCCUCUGUAACUUUGUUUCUUUCUUCAUGUAAUCCUUGCAGCAAGAACUUUGUUUCUGUACUUUAUUUUCCACCAAUUAAAACUUACGAAUCUGUACUGACAAUUGUUACAUGUAAUUAAAGCGGGUCAAUUGAUAUAUCUUGGGAAUAACUUUUUACAUUAUCACUUGUAUUAUUAUUUUUUCUCUGGUGCAUCUACUGUGAACACCUAAAAAUUGACAAUGUAUUUGAGAUUUUACUUAGCACUGCAUUUUAGCCAAAUGCACCAUACAUGUUUAGCUGACUUCUUCCUCAUACAUGCUGGUUUUUUUCUUUCUCUUUAAAACUUGAGUCUGUCUAUUAUUGUAUAAGCACUUAGAUAUCAUAUAAUUUAUUUUUAUAAUUGAAGAAAUCAGUUUAAACUAUUUUCACAUAAGAUAUAAGUUGUUUUCAUUAUUUAUCCUAGAAUGCUUACUGAAGAUAAGCCAAAGUAAACUUUAAAUAAGCUCUUCUAAACAUACCUUAAUUUGAUCAUUGCUUAGGAAUGAGAAUGCAUGGUUCCAGCUUGAAUAUAUUUAAAAUGCUGAGAAAUGUGAUUAUUUUAGUAGGGAUCAGGUGCCAAAUCCAAGGUCUCAUAUCUAUAGAUUCUAUACUUAUUAUUGUUGAAACCACAUUGAAACUCAUCAAAUUUGUUUUUAGAAUAGGAAGCCUAACAUAGUUUCUUUACUGAAUGUGGGCUCCCACAGACAAUGGCUUACCUCAGUUUUAAGGUUUCUCCACCAGAUGUGUACUGAAGUGUGGCCUUUAUUAAAUUCAACCCUGUUGAGCAGUUAUUUAGGUUUUCAGAGAGGAAGAUGGGGGAGGGGGAAACUGUGUUUUUAUAUUUUAUUGUUGAAUAGUAAUUGAGUUAUUAUAUUUUAUCAUUUAAUACUACCUUUCAUAAACUGUAAACUUUUUCCCUCGUUGACUAGCUGAAAAAUUAACAUUGUGGAUCAUGACUCCCUUUUUGACAGCUCAAUUUGUUGGAAAAUAUUAAGUUGUGGAUGUAAUUGACUUGUUGAUAUCAACAUUGAAAGUUGUGUUUCUUCCUGUGUUGGUUGGUGCUUUUCUUAGUCAAUAUUUCCAAUCUCUUGUUAAAUUUGGCAUGCAGGUAAAGUCAAUAUUUUAUAAUUGCAUUAUUAAGCAUAGGCAGCUUGCUGCUUGCUACCUUUUUUGUGAAUGUUGGUUCAAUUUCACAUAUCUGCUGUAUCACAUAGAUACCAGGGCAGAGAUUGAGUUUUUAGAAAUGAAGAUUAAACUUUUAUUUCAUUUUCUGGUUCAGUACGUAACAAUGUGGCUCUCAAAAAGCUAGAUAUCUUCAAACACCUUCAUUUACCAAAUACAUGUUGACAAUUUUUUUUGCAAAUUAUUAGGAACAGAAACAUAAACUUGAGUAAUUAGAUAGCAAUUUGCUAUGCAUAUUAUACAAAUGAAUGCACUCAAAUAAUUCUGUAAUUGACUGUUCGAAACUGUAAGAUUUAAUGCAUUUUUAUCUAACUAAAAUUGUGUUUGAAUAGGUAGAGUGUAUGCCAGAUUUUAACUAACUAUUCUAAUGUUUUUUUAUAUAUGUUAAAUAAUUAAUAAUA